ACUUCCGGGGAAGCGGCCGAACUGGGGCCUUCCAGGGUCCACGCCGUCUGAGGCCCGAGAGAGUCGGUUCGGCCCCGGUGUUCGCGGAUCCCGGCUCGCGGGAGCCUCGGGGCCAGGCCAGGGAGGCAGAGCAAGCUGCAGCCAGCCGGCGCCGGGCUCGUCGGGCUUCGCAGGUCCGGCCAGCCUACCUCGCCCCACCGCGCAGGGGCCAGCGGCGUCGCGGGCGUUUUCGUGGCGGAAUGGCGUCCUCACUGAGCGCCCAGCCACCACCGCGGACUCGCGCUCGCUUCCUCUGGGGCCCGCGCGGCCUGGGGUCGUGUCUGACCGCGGGUGUCCACGCAACACCUCUGCAGUUUCACUUUCCGGGGGAAUCGCGGGGACCUGGAGCGAACUCUUCCCUCCCUCGCGAGGGCCCCGGGCCCCGCUGUGGUCCACAGAGCACCUUGAGGCCCGGCGUGGAAGGGCGAGUUUGGGGCUGUCGGUAACUUAAUGAGGCACGCCUUUGAGUCGUGGGCCUCAUGACGUUUCCGUGGAAGGCGGGCCGCAUAUACUGUGGUGGUCCCUUCAGAUUACCACGUGUUGGCCAGACGCGGUGGCUCACGCCUGUAAUCUCACCGCUUUGGGAGGCCGAGGUGGGGUGGCGGAUCACGAAUCCAGGAAAUCGAGACCAACCUGGUGAAACCCUGUCUCUACUGAAAAUACAAAAAUUAGCCGGGCGUGGUGGCUGGCGAGCGCCGUAACCCCAGCUAUUGGGGAGGCUGAGGCAGGAGAAUCGUUUGAACCCCGGAGGCGAAGCUUGCAGUGAGCUGAGAUGUCGCCAUUGCACUCCAGCCUGGGCGACAGAGUGAGACUCCAUCUCAAAAAUAAAAAAAUAAAAGAUUACCACGUGUUGUUCGGAUCAUCUGGCCUAGGUGUGGGGUAGGCUGUCCCAUCUAGGUUUGUCACAUAACAAAAUCGCCUAAUGACACAUUUCUCAGGACAUAGCUUCACCGUUGAGUAGCACAUGGCCGUAUUGUUUUUUGUUUGUUUGUUUCUGUUGUUUUUUUUGAGACAGAAUGUUGCUCUUGUUGCCCAGGCAGGAGUGCAAUGGCAUGGUCUUGGCUCACUGCAACCUCUGCCUACUGGGUUCGAGCGAUUCUCCUGCCUCAGCCUCCCGAGUAGCUGGAAUUACAGGCGUGCACCACCACGCCAGGCUAAUUUCUGUAUUUUUGGUAGAAACGGUUUCACCAUUUUGGCCAGGCUGGUCUCGAACUCCUGAGCUCAGGUGAUCUGCCCGCCUCGGCCUCCCAAAGUGUUGAGAUUACAGGCGUGAGCCACUAUGCCAGGCCCGACUGUAUAGCUUUUAUUUUUAUUUUUAGAGGAAAGGUCUCACUCUCUCCCAGGAUGGAGUGCAGUGGCCCAUUGCAGCUCACUGCAGCCUCGAUCUCCUGGCUCAAGCUAUCCUGCCACUCAGUCUCCUAGGUAGCUGAGGCUACAGGCACACGCCGCCAUACCCCAUUAUUUUUUUAUUUUUAUUUUUUGUUCGUUUUUGUGGAGAUGGGGUCUCGUGCUGCCUGGGCUCAUUUUCAUUUCUCUUGGGCGUGCAUAGAAACCAAAUUGCUGAGGCAUAACCUGGGUAUAUGUUUAGCUUUCCCCAAAGCAGCCAUACAUUUAAAAACAUUCCUACCAGGCCAGGCGAGGUGGCUCAUGCCUGUAAUCCCAGCACUUUGGGAGGCUGAGGCUAGUGGAUCACCUGAGGUCAGGAGUUUGAGACCAACCUGGCCGACAUGGUGAAAACCUGUCUCUACUAAAAAAUACAAAAAUUAGCCAGGCAUGGUGGCGGUCACCUGUGAUCCUAGCUACUCAGGAGGCUAAGGCAUGAGAUCGCUUGAACCUGGGAGGUGGAGGUUGCAGUGAGCCGAGAUCAAGCCACUGCACUCCAGCCUGUGUGACAGAGCGAGACUUUGUCUCAAAAAAAGAUAAAAAAAGAAAAUGGAAACAUUCCUACCAACAGUUUAUGUUUCCUUUGCUCCACAUCCUUCCCAACAUUUGGUGUUGCCAAGCGUCUUCAUUGUAGCCAGCCAAUGAGUGGGUAGUGGUAUCUUGUGAUUUUUAAAAUUUUGUUUAUUUUAUAGAGAAGAGAUCUCAUCCUAUCACCCAGGCUGAAGUUCAGUGAUGUCAUCAUAGCUCACUGCAGCCUGGAACUCCUGGGCUCAAGGGAUCCUCCUUCAUUGGCCUCCCAAGUAGCUGUAACUACAGGCAUGUGCCACCGUGCCUGGGUAUUCUUGUGGUUUUGAUUUGCAUUUCCCUGAUUACUAAUGGUCUUGAGCAUUUUUUUCCCCUGUGGUUAUUGCAUGCCAUCAUUGUAAGAUGUACUCUGAUUUUGAGGUAGGAGGCAGAACUUUAUUCCAGACCAGAUUAAAGACUGGCUGAAGGCCGGGCGCGGUGGCUCACGCCUGUAAUCCUAACACUUUGGGAGGCCGAAAAGGCGAGCAGAUCAGCAGAUCGAGACCAUCCUGGCUAACACGGUGAAACCUCAUCUCUACUAAAAGUACAGAAAAUUAGCCGGGUGUGGUGGCUGGUGCCUGUAGUCUCAGCUACUCGGGAGGCUGAGGCAGGAGAAUCACUUGAACCCAGGAGGCGGAGGUUGCAAUGAGCUGAGAUCGCACCACUGCACUCCAGCCUGGGCGACAGAGGGAGACUCUGUCUCAAAAAAAAAAAAAAAAAAAAAAAGCUGGCUGAAACUGGGAAGAGGCAAAAGCACCGCUCCAUGAGACAUGCCCACCAGUGCCAUCUCUGUUUACCAUUGCCAUGGCAACACCCACAAGUUACUGCCGCUUCCCAUGAUAACCACCCCAAAGUUAACGACCUUUUUCUAAAACUUUCUGAAUAACUUGCACCUUAAUUUGUACAUAAUUAAAAGUAGUUGGCCGGGUAUGGUGGCUCACGCCUGUAAUCCCAGCACUUUGGGAGGUCGAGGCGGGCAGAUCAUGAGAUAAGGAGAUCGAGACCAUCCUGGCUAACACAGUGAAACACCGUCUCUACUAAAAAUACAGAAAUUAGCCAGGCGUGGUAGCGGGCACUUGUAAUCCCAGCUACUCGGGAGGCUGAGGUACGAGAAUCGCUUGAACCCAGGAGGCAGAGGUUGCAGUGAGCUGAGGUUGCGCCAUUGCACUCCAGCCUGGGCGACAUACUGAGGCUCUGUCUCAAAAAAAAGAAAAGAAACGAAAAAAAAACAGAGAGAGAGCCGGGCGCGGUGGCUCAUGCCUGUAGUCCCAGCACUUUGGGAGGCCAAGGCGGGCGGAUCAUGAGGUCAGGAGAGAUUGAGACCAUCCUGGCUAACACAGUGAAACCCUGUCUCUACUAAAAAUACCAAAAAAAAAAAAAAAAAGCCGGGCGUGGUGGCAGGCACCCUUAUCCCAGCUACUCUGGAGGCUGAGACAGGAGAAUGGCGUGAGCCCAGGAGGCGGAGCUUGCAGUGAGCCGAGAUCGCGCCACUGCACUCCAGCCUUGGGCAACAGAGCAAGACUCCGUCUCAAAAAAAAAAAAAAAAAAAAAAGAAAAGAAAAAAGAAAAAAAGAAAGAGAGGAGGCUUAGAGUCAGAGAAGUCAAUGUGGUGCUGGGAUCUGAGAAAAAGAACCUGGAAGAUGGUCAGUUGCUGGCUUUGAAGAUGGAGGAAGACACUAAACCAAGGGAUGCAGGACAAGCUGGAAAAGGCAAGGACAUAGAUUUUCCCUGGAGCUUCCCAGAGGAAGCCAACAUCUGGAUUUUCGUCCCAUAAGACUCAUCUCAGAUUUGUGAGCUCCAGGACUGUAAGAGUCUCGCUUAUGUCACCUAGACUGGAUGGAAUGCAAUUAUGUGAUCUCAGCUCAC
This 3852-nucleotide long non-coding RNA is filed under the name Homo sapiens (human). RNAcentral's name for it is "non-protein coding lnc-PPP6R2-4:1". Lineage: Eukaryota; Metazoa; Chordata; Mammalia; Primates; Hominidae. The record is from RNAcentral.